This 491-nucleotide ribosomal RNA is filed under the name uncultured bacterium. Its description in RNAcentral is "partial 16S ribosomal RNA". It matches the Rfam family "Bacterial small subunit ribosomal RNA", at positions 29 to 507 of the family's 1533-position model. The record is from RNAcentral.
AGUGAACGCUGGCGGUAGGCCUAACACAUGCAAGUCGAACGGCAGCACAGUAAGAGCUUGCUCUUACGGGUGGCGAGUGGCGGACGGGUGAGGAAUACAUCGGAAUCUACUUUUUCGUGGGGGAUAACGUAGGGAAACUUACGCUAAUACCGCAUACGACCUACGGGUGAAAGCAGGGGAUCUUCGGACCUUGCGCGAUUGAAUGAGCCGAUGUCGGAUUAGCUAGUUGGCGGGGUAAAGGCCCACCAAGGCGACGAUCCGUAGCUGGUCUGAGAGGAUGAUCAGCACCACUGGACCUGGACAACGUCCCAGACUCUUACGGGAGGCAGAAGUGGGGAAUAUUGGCAAAGGGGCGAAAGCCUGUCCCAGCAAAACCGGGGGGUGAAGAAGGCCUUCGGGUUGUAAAGCCCUCUUGUUGGGAAAGAAAAGCAGCAGGUUAAUACCCCGCUGUUCUGACGGUACCCAAAGAAUAAGCACCGGCUAACUUCGUG